GAGAGGGGAAGUGUCGGUCCGCUCUUCACAGCUCAAGCGAGUGCGUGACAAAGAAAGAAGAGGGUGUGUCGUGUGUCAUGAGACGGCUGUGUGAUGGCCGACGUCUAAACGCUCCACUUACACACACUCUGGCUGCGGCCGCGGGCGUAGAUGGCAUCUCCCUUCACGGAGCUGGAGGUGUUGACGAUCAUGUUCUCUCUGCUGGUGUUCGCCCUCUUCACGCUCACGGGGAUGCUCCACGAGGACUGGGCCCGCUCCAAUGACAUCGACAGACGGCCACAGUGCGAGGAACUGAUCGUCUGACUGAGGAUGAAAAAGCUGCGAAGGAAGAAACAGCGGCCUCUCUCUCUUCCUGCCGGUCCCCACAGGACCUGUAGGCCAGAAGACGUGUGCGAGUGUGUGUCGUCACUAGAACAAGUCGAACUUGUGAUCUCUGACAGUGUGUGUGUGAGUGUGUGUGUGUGUGUGUGUGUGUGUGUGUGUGUGUGUGUGUGUGUGUGUGUAGGUGUGUGUGCGCGCGCGCGCGCGUGGACGCUGUCACUUUAUCCAGGCUUGCUUCCAGGAUGUGGCACAAAGGAGUGGCCUAGAUUGUACACUGUAAAAAGUUAAUAAACAAACAGCUGCUUCCACACACAG
Pseudoliparis swirei is the source of this 636-nucleotide long non-coding RNA. RefSeq lists it as uncharacterized. Lineage: Eukaryota; Metazoa; Chordata; Actinopteri; Perciformes; Liparidae. The record is from RefSeq and is a predicted model, not a curated record. The transcript has 3 exons.